This 72-nucleotide transfer RNA is filed under the name Mycobacterium phage Tonenili. It matches the Rfam family "tRNA". Rfam says of the family: Transfer RNA (tRNA) molecules are approximately 80 nucleotides in length. Their secondary structure includes four short double-helical elements and three loops (D, anti-codon, and T loops). Further hydrogen bonds mediate the characteristic L-shaped molecular structure. tRNAs have two regions of fundamental functional importance: the anti-codon, which is responsible for specific mRNA codon recognition, and the 3' end, to which the tRNAs corresponding amino acid is attached (by aminoacyl-tRNA synthetases). tRNAs cope with the degeneracy of the genetic code in two manners: having more than one tRNA (with a specific anti-codon) for a particular amino acid; and 'wobble' base-pairing, i.e. permitting non-standard base-pairing at the 3rd anti-codon position. Lineage: Duplodnaviria; Heunggongvirae; Uroviricota; Caudoviricetes. The record is from Rfam by way of RNAcentral.
GCUGAUUUAGCUCAGUGGUAGAGCGCCGACUUGGUAUGUCGGAGGCCCCGGGUUCGAUCCCCGGAUUCAGCU